This is a long non-coding RNA of Hemiscyllium ocellatum (epaulette shark), 162 nucleotides long. RefSeq lists it as uncharacterized. The record is from RefSeq and is a predicted model, not a curated record. Lineage: Eukaryota; Metazoa; Chordata; Chondrichthyes; Orectolobiformes; Hemiscylliidae. The transcript has 3 exons.
GCAACUGAAUUUAUGAAAACUACAGAACUAAAAUCUAGCGAAGCACUUAUGACUCUUAUUGAAGACAUGUUUGAUGCUGUUUUGGCAAUAUGCAAAUGCAGUAGUGAAGGCAGGACUCAACUGAUGGACACAUUUGUGUUGCAAUUAGGACAUGGGGUGACC